AAUUCCGUGCCAGCAGCCGCGGUAAUACGGAAGGUGCAAGCGUUAAUCGGAAUUACUGGGCGUAAAGCGCGCGUAGGUGGUUUGUUAAGUUGGAUGUGAAAGCCCUGGGCUCAACCUAGGAACUGCAUCCAAAACUAACUCACUAGAGUACGAUAGAGGGAGGUAGAAUUCAUAGUGUAGCGGUGGAAUGCGUAGAUAUUAUGAAGAAUACCAGUGGCGAAGGCGGCCUCCUGGAUCUGUACUGACACUGAGGUGCGAAAGCGUGGGUAGCGAACAGGAUUAGAUACCCUGGUAGUCCACGCCGUAAACGAUGACAACUAGCUGUUGGGAGACAAAGUCUUUCAGUGGCGCAGCUAACGCUUUAAGUUGUCCGCCUGGGGAGUACGGCCGCAAGGCUAAAACUCAAAUGAAUUGACGGGGACCCGCACAAGCGGUGGAGCAUGUGGUUUAAUUCGAUGCAACGCGAAAAACCUUACCUACUCUUGACAUACUUGGGAGCUCUUGUAAUGAGAGUGUGCCUUAUGGAACCAAGAUACAGGUGCUGCAUGGCUGUCGUCAGCUCGUGUCGUGAGAUGUUCCGUUAAGUCGGAUAACGAGCGCAACCCUUACCCUUAUUUGCCAGCGAUUCGGUCGGGAACUAUAAGGGGACUGCCGGUGAUAAACCGGAGGAAGGUGAGGACGACGUCAAGUCAUCAUGGCCCUUACGAGUAGGGCUACACACGUGCUACAAUGGGAAAUACAGACGGACGCUAAGCCGCGAGGUGGUGCUAAUCCUAGAAAGUUUCUCGUAGUCCGGAUUGGAGUCUGCAACUCGACUCCAUGAAGUCGGAAUCGCUAGUAAUCGCGGAUCAGCAUGCCGCGGUGAAUACGUUCUCGGGUCUUGUACACACCGCCCGUCACACCAUGGAAGUGGAUUGCACCAGAAGUAGAUAGUCUAACCUUAGGGAGGGCGUUUACCACGGUGUGCUUCAUGACUGGGGUG
Molecule: ribosomal RNA, 982 nt
Filed under: uncultured bacterium
Lineage: Bacteria
Description: bacterial SSU rRNA
Rfam family: Bacterial small subunit ribosomal RNA
Source: RNAcentral